AUAAAAAUAAGCUAAUAAAGCUAAUGAGUUCAUACCUCAUUUAUAUAGAAUAUCUAUUUUUUAUU
RNAcentral lists this transfer RNA (65 nucleotides) under Psilotreta sp. XG-2021. Its description in RNAcentral is "tRNA-Met". Lineage: Eukaryota; Metazoa; Arthropoda; Insecta; Trichoptera; Odontoceridae. The record is from RNAcentral.